GACGAACGCUGGCGGCGCGCCUAACACAUGCAAGUCGAGCGAUGAAAUUUUAACCGAUCUCUUCGGAGAGAAGAUAAAAUGGAUUAGCGGCGGACGGGUGAGUAACACGUGAGAAACCUGCCUUUCACAAGGGGAUAGCCUCGGGAAACCGGGAUUAAUACCCUAUGACACAUUUCCUUCGCAUGGAAGAAAUGUUCAAACUCCGGUGGUGAAAGAUGGUCUCGCGCCUGAUUAGCUAGUUGGUGGGGUAACGGCCCACCAAGGCCAUGAUCAGUAACCGGGCUGAGAGGGGGAACGGUCACAUUGGAACUGAGACACGGUCCAAACUCCUACGGGAGGAAGCAGUGGGGAAUAUUGCACAAUGGAGGAAACUCUGAUGCAGCGACGCCGCGUGAGCGAUGAAGGCUUUCGAGUCGUAAAGCUCUGUCCUAUGGGAAGAUAAUGACGGUACCAGAGGAGGAAGCCCCGGCUAACUACGUG
RNAcentral lists this ribosomal RNA (480 nucleotides) under uncultured bacterium. Its description in RNAcentral is "partial 16S ribosomal RNA". It matches the Rfam family "Bacterial small subunit ribosomal RNA", at positions 28 to 507 of the family's 1533-position model. The record is from RNAcentral.